AGUGAACGCUGGCGGUAGGCCUAACACAUGCAAGUCGAACGGCAGCACAGUAAGAGCUUGCUCUUACGGGUGGCGAGUGGCGGACGGGUGAGGAAUACAUCGGAAUCUACUUUUUCGUGGGGGAUAACGUAGGGAAACUUACGCUAAUACCGCAUACGACCUACGGGUGAAAGCAGUGGAUCUUCGGACCUUGCGCGAUUGAAUGAGCCGAUGUCGGAUUAGCUAGUUGGCGGGGUAAAGGCCCACCAAGGCGACGAUCCGUAGCUGGUCUGAGAGGAUGAUCAGCCACACUGGAGCUGAGACACGGUCCAGACUCCUACGGGAGGCAGCAGUGGGGAAUAUUGGACAAUGGGCGCAAGCCUGAUCCAGCCAUACCGCGUGGGUGAAGAAGGCCUUCGGGUUGUAAAGCCCUUUUGUUGGGAAAGAAAAGCAGCAGGUUAAUACCCCGCUGUUCUGACGGUACCCAAAGAAUAAGCACCGGCUAACUUCGUG
This 492-nucleotide ribosomal RNA is filed under the name uncultured bacterium. Its description in RNAcentral is "partial 16S ribosomal RNA". It matches the Rfam family "Bacterial small subunit ribosomal RNA", at positions 29 to 507 of the family's 1533-position model. The record is from RNAcentral.